Molecule: ribosomal RNA, 608 nt
Filed under: Triticum aestivum (bread wheat)
Lineage: Eukaryota; Viridiplantae; Streptophyta; Magnoliopsida; Poales; Poaceae
Description: partial small subunit ribosomal RNA
Source: RNAcentral
GGCACAGGCGCGCGUGCAAGUUAUGGGCCACGGCUCAGGCCUGGUCCCACUAACGGCAGCCAUCCACCCCACCCACUCCAUCUCUCAUCGAUCACCCAUCCUCUUCCAGAUCUUUCCUGCUCGUCUCCUCUCCAACAACGUCGCAAGAAACUAGAUCGGCGGCCAUGACUUCCGCAGCUUCUUCCUUGCAGCCUGGGAAGAUACUCCCGCUCAUCUGUGCUCCGCUCAUAAAUUUACCCUGUUUUGCCCCACGUCCGCAGGCUGGACUUUGUUCAUUCAUGAGAUCCAGCGACACGUACCUGCCGGAACUGAUUCGCCAUGGCCUCUCCCACCCGUACGGAUUGCAGCAGCCUCUAAUCGUGCAUUCAGCUUCGUCCCUCCACCAGAGAUCUCGCCAGGCAGCAGAGCAGUUAGACUUAGACACCCUUUAGCUAAUUAGCGUGAGCUGACAGUGUUGUCCCAAAUGUAUUACGGACCAAUGUAAUUUGCUUUCACAUUUAGAAGUACGCCUUAGCCUUUGUCAUCAGUCCUGGUGGUGCUUUUGUUUGUGUCUACUCUUCUGUAAUCAUGGGUUCUAGUAAUAAAAUACGACUGCCGCGUCACAUGAG